This 578-nucleotide ribosomal RNA is filed under the name Aeromicrobium sp. BvORR050. RNAcentral's name for it is "bacterial SSU rRNA". It matches the Rfam family "Bacterial small subunit ribosomal RNA", at positions 102 to 694 of the family's 1533-position model. The record is from RNAcentral. Lineage: Bacteria; Bacillati; Actinomycetota; Actinomycetes; Propionibacteriales; Nocardioidaceae.
ACGGGUGAGUAACACGUGAGCAAUCUGCCCUUCUCUUUGGAAUAACCAUUGGAAACGAUGGCUAAUGCCGAAUAUGACCUCCUUUCGCAUGUUUGGAGGUGGAAAGCUCCGGCGGAGAAGGAUGAGCUCGCGGCCUAUCAGCUUGUUGGUGAGGUAAUGGCUCACCAAGGCAUUGACGGGUAGCCGGCCUGAGAGGGUGACCGGCCACACUGGGACUGAGACACGGCCCAGACUCCUACGGGAGGCAGCAGUGGGGAAUAUUGGACAAUGGGCGAAAGCCUGAUCCAGCAACGCCGCGUGAGGGAUGACGGCCUUCGGGUUGUAAACCUCUUUCAGCAGGGACGAAGCGAGAGUGACGGUACCUGCAGAAGAAGGACCGGCCAACUACGUGCCAGCAGCCGCGGUAAUACGUAGGGUCCGAGCGUUGUCCGGAAUUAUUGGGCGUAAAGGGCUCGUAGGCGGUUUGUCGCGUCGGGAGUGAAAACUCAGGGCUCAACCCUGAGCGUGCUUCCGAUACGGGCAGACUAGAGGUAUGCAGGGGAGAACGGAAUUCCUGGUGUAGCGGUGGAAUGCGCAGA